GCUGGGUGUGGUGGCAUGUGCCUGUAAUCCAAGUCACUGGGAGGCUGGGUUGGUGGAUCAAGUGAGCUGAGAGCUCUGGGCUGCAGCACACUAUGUCGAACGGGUGUCCCCGCUAAUUCGGUAUCGAUAUGGGUUCCUGGGGGAGCCGGGACCACCAGGUUGUCUAAGGAGGGGUUGAACCGCCCAGGUUGGAAACGAAGCAGGUCAAAUCCCCGUGCUGUCCAGUAGUGGGAUAAUACCUGUGGUAGAUGCUGCAGUGCAGCCUUGGCAAAACUUGAGACCUAAUCUUUU
Molecule: signal recognition particle RNA, 291 nt
Filed under: Oncorhynchus tshawytscha (Chinook salmon)
Lineage: Eukaryota; Metazoa; Chordata; Actinopteri; Salmoniformes; Salmonidae
Description: Metazoan signal recognition particle RNA
Rfam family: Metazoan signal recognition particle RNA
About the family: The signal recognition particle (SRP) is a universally conserved ribonucleoprotein. It is involved in the co-translational targeting of proteins to membranes. The eukaryotic SRP consists of a 300-nucleotide 7S RNA and six proteins: SRPs 72, 68, 54, 19, 14, and 9.
Source: Rfam by way of RNAcentral